This is a long non-coding RNA of Thalassophryne amazonica, 147 nucleotides long. RefSeq lists it as uncharacterized. The transcript is spliced from 4 exons. Lineage: Eukaryota; Metazoa; Chordata; Actinopteri; Batrachoidiformes; Batrachoididae. The record is from RefSeq and is a predicted model, not a curated record.
AAUAUCUUUGGAAAUUGAAAAUAACUAUGUGGUUAUAUCUAGUGUUGUGUUCCUUUGGCUGACUGUUCUUGUGCAAUGUCAGCACCCUAAGGUGAGAGGCAAUGUCAGGUGCUCUGGCCCCAGGAAUACACUUAACAUCAGUUGGUC